UUUCAAGUCAGGAGUGAAAGGCUACGGCUCAACCGUAGUAAGCUCUUGAAACUGGGAGACUUGAGUGCAGGAGAGGAGAGUGGAAUUCCUAGUGUAGCGGUGAAAUGCGUCGAUAUUAGGAGGAACACCAGUUGCGAAGGCGGCUCUCUGGACUGUAACUGACGCUGAGGCACGAAAGCGUGGGGAGCAAACAGGAUUAGAUACCCUGGUAGUCCACGCU
RNAcentral lists this ribosomal RNA (220 nucleotides) under Clostridioides difficile. Its description in RNAcentral is "partial 16S ribosomal RNA". It matches the Rfam family "Bacterial small subunit ribosomal RNA", at positions 581 to 801 of the family's 1533-position model. Lineage: Bacteria; Bacillati; Bacillota; Clostridia; Peptostreptococcales; Peptostreptococcaceae. The record is from RNAcentral.